Molecule: long non-coding RNA, 2311 nt
Organism: Zeugodacus cucurbitae (melon fly)
Lineage: Eukaryota; Metazoa; Arthropoda; Insecta; Diptera; Tephritidae
Exons: 2
Source: RefSeq, a predicted model, not a curated record
AUAUCUCGCAAACCAAUAAAGCUAUAUAAACCCAACUUUCUGCAGUCGGUUCCCUUACUUACCCCACCAUACCCCAUGAAAAUAGUUGAAAUCGGAUAAUAAUCACGCCCACCUCCCAUACAAAGGUUAGGUGGAAAAUUACUAAAGUGCGUUAACUCACUAACGAAUAACAUCAGAAACCCUAAAAUUUGCAGAAGAAAUGGCAGAAGGAAGUUGUACUCAGUGUUUUUACAAAAUGGAAAAUGGGCGUAGCGUCGCCCACUUAUGGGUCAAAAACCAUAUCUCAUGAACUAUUCGACCGAUUUCAAUGAAAUUCGGUAUACAGCAUUUUCCUGACACCCUGAUGACACGUGUGAUGGCUGAAAUCGGUUCACAACCAAGACUACUUUCCAUAAAACUCAAUUUUGAAUUCCCUCUCAUUCUUUCGCUUUAUAAUAUGUGAAAAAACUCAAGCGUUUUUGAGAUGCGAAAACACUAAUACUGGGAUGCUCGAAUAAUUAAAAAGCCUAAUUGCCUGUUACGAAAAAGUAAGAUUCCUAUUAAUUGAAAAUCACGUGCGUACGGUUUCACAGUUUAAUUGUAUCGUCACCUAAAAUGCAAAAGGCCGUAACUAACAAAAUAUUCAAAAUUGACAUUUUGAUUGAUUAUGAAGUACUUAACCGAAACACGUGUACACAGCAAAUUUUACAUGCAUACGUCCAAAAAUAACGACUUUAUAGGCGAGAAUCAGAAGGCCGCAACUACAACUUCAACAAUUUCAUAAACCAAAAAGCCGUAACUACCCUUUUUUUCAUUCUCUUUGAUUCAAUUUCAAUGUUACACAUUGUGUUAUCCGCAAAAAAUCCGGAGAGCCAACUGUUAAUAUGAUCCGUGCCUUGGCAUAUGAUCCAUCUGGAAUAAUUUAUUAUAAAACAAAUAUCAACGACGAUUAUAACGUUUUGCCACAACGUACACAACAAAAAUUUAGGGACAUCGAACCUUCACAGUUACAUACCGAAAGAAUAUCAAUAUCCAAAAAGAAAUGGAAACACCUGCAGGAACUUAAAUUUUUACUUCCGGCUGACUGCCACAGCUUUUAUGAUAAUAUACCCUUUACAUCUUAACCCUUCUGCUAUGUUUGGGUCAAUUUGACGAAAUUUUCAGUAAAACUCGUCGAAAUUCGCUUGUUAGUCUAGUCGUAUUGUAUUGAUUCUUCUUCUAUUUGUUAACUGCAGUAAAUGGAAUAGAUAAAUAUGAAAAUUAAAAUAAUAUCUGUUUUUUUUUGUUGCUGGAGGAUGCCAAAUGUAAUUUCAUUACACUUAUUACGUUGUUGGGUCAAUUUGUAUUUAGAAACAUUUUGCCGUUUAUUAUUACAUCACUCGAUAAAAAACGCCGACAAAGAAAGCUAGUUAUCGGAAAUCGAGUAUAUUUUGCACAGCUCUAUGCUCAGAAAAGAAUCCACCAAAAAACGACAGCGAUGUUUCUUUAGUCAUCAUACAAAAAAUUCGAACAAAUAUUCAGCUGUUUGUAGUACGUGCCAAAAAUUUGUUUGCAAGGAACACAGCAGCUUAGUUUGUGAAAAUUGCCAUUAAAACAUACAUAUCUCAACAAUUUUCUACAAUUAACAUACACUUAAGUUGAUUCAAAUAAAAAAAUAUGAACUCUUUCAAUAAAAUAGUGUUAUUAGUGGAGUUUUUAUAAGUGGGUCAAAUUGACCCAAAACACUAUAUGUCGGCUUACGACGAACGGGCCGAUUUACGGUUUUAAAGAAAAGUUAUAAUUUUGGAAUUCAACGUUAUAAUAAUUCAGUGUAUUUUGUUUAAAAUUAAGUGUACAUUAAGUUUUGAAGGGUAUAUGUGUAUAUAUGUACAAUAAUUGUUAAUAUGUUUACAUACAAUGUAACUUUAAUUUAGUGUUAGUAUAUAUUUAUUUUAUUGACCUGUUUUGCGUAUGAUUUUUCCUUCUUGUGUUGUAUGGUGUUGAAUGUUGUGAUUGUGGGGGAUAUGCUCUCCAAGUUAUUCUCCAAGUGAUUGUUGAAUUGUUGUUCACUUUCCUUUUUGUGUAUUAAAUUUGUGUUUUGAAUAUUUGAUUUGCUUAUUUCACUGUAUAUUGAAUUUGUGUUUUGUUCACUUCAGAAAAAGCGCGGGUGUUUUGUUCGGAUCCUUCCAAUGAUGUCUUCUUUUUCUUCGUGUAAUGUUGUGUUGUAAAAAUUAGUGAAGUUGGUUUCGGUCGGCUUAUCUUCUUUGCAUUACUGUUCUAUUACUUUUCGGAGUAAUUGAAAGUAAUGCAGAGGAGUUUUUUGUUUGCACUAAACAUUCCGGCCGCCUUGCAG